Molecule: long non-coding RNA, 278 nt
Organism: Neopsephotus bourkii (Bourke's parrot)
Lineage: Eukaryota; Metazoa; Chordata; Aves; Psittaciformes; Psittacidae
Exons: 2
Source: RefSeq, a predicted model, not a curated record
CUUCUGUCGGAUUAAAGAAGAAUUUAGGGAGUCAGGAUGUUAUUUCAAGAGAGAGAAGACUUGCUAAAGGGCUGGGAGGUUAUGGGAAUGUUGUGCCAAGACUAUUUUUCAGAGUCAGUUUUGAAGACAUGGCUUGUAAUGCUGCUCAGGAUAGACCCAGGCGUAGCUGAGAAGCUACCCCCCGUCUGGUUUUGUGUCGGAAGAGCCCUCAGGCUUUGGGGUCCUCAUCCACGUACAAGAAUGUGCUGCCACAAUGUAAGUAAUAAAGACAUAGAUCA